AAGGACCAAUUGUAGUAUUGGGAGAUGCUAGGAUGGACAGUCCAGGAUUCUGUGCACAAUACUGCACAUACACGGCCAUGGACAAUGAGUCCAAAAAAAUGAUCAGCAUAGUCAACAUAGACAAGCGAGAAACACAGAGGAACUCGGUUGUAAUGGAGAAAGAGGCCUUCAUUCGUACCUUUGAGACACUCUGUGAGGAGCUCAAGGUUACGGAGUUUUGCACCGAUGCCCAUGUUCAAAUAUCUGCCCUCUUCAACAUGGGGAAAUACAAAGACAGUGGUGUACAACACACACUCGACAUCUGGCAUGGAGCUAAAAGCUUGAGUAAAAA
This is a long non-coding RNA of Sinocyclocheilus anshuiensis, 331 nucleotides long. RefSeq lists it as uncharacterized. The transcript has 3 exons. Lineage: Eukaryota; Metazoa; Chordata; Actinopteri; Cypriniformes; Cyprinidae. The record is from RefSeq and is a predicted model, not a curated record.